GAACUCGGCGGCCGCUAUGGCGUCAAACAUGGACCGGGAGAUGAUUCUGGCGGAUUUUCAGGACUCAGGAUUAUGCUGCUGCUGAUCCAAGGACUACACUUGAGAACAACUGAUCUAGAUGACUUUGAAGAAACAUCCAUUCCUAUGAUUCUUUGCUUUUGUGAUCUUAAGUACUGUUCCAUUUUUAUGACAGGAAAAUUAAAUAUUCAGUAUAUACCUGAUGGUUACAAUGGAAUAUGCUGUUUAAUCACUCCAUGUCUUUGAACCCUUUUUUAUUCAUGUGCCUUUGGAAAAUUUCUAGUUAUCUUUCAAAAUCCACCUCCUACCUUUUACUUAUAACAUCUGUGCCUAGUAGGGUUAAUCAUUUCUUAUGUAUCUUAUGCAGUUUCUCUUUUGAGUCCUAUGUCAGAUUGUCAAUAAUCAUUUUACAUGUUUCUUUCCCCUGUUGUCAGCUCUUUGAAAAAACAACUGCCUGGGUCUUAA
Myotis lucifugus (little brown bat) is the source of this 483-nucleotide long non-coding RNA. RefSeq lists it as uncharacterized. The record is from RefSeq and is a predicted model, not a curated record. The transcript is spliced from 2 exons. Lineage: Eukaryota; Metazoa; Chordata; Mammalia; Chiroptera; Vespertilionidae.